UUGGUAAAAAAUUCUUUUUUUUUAGGGGAAGAAACAAGUACCCGUUUGGAAUAAGGGCCGGUACCCUUGACCGGUACCUCACCCAGAAAAGCCACGGGUUAAAUUACGUGGCCAGCAGGCCGCGGGUAAUAACGUAGGUGGGCAAGCGUUUGUCCUGGAAAUUAUUGGGCGUAAAAGGGCUCGCAGGGCGGUUUCUUUAAGUCUGAUGUGAAAGCCCCCCGGCUCAACCCGUGGAGAGUCAUUGGAAAAUGGGGAACUUGAGUGCAGAAGAGGAGAGUGGAAUUUCACGUGUAGCGGUGAAAUGCGUAGAGAUGUGGAGGAACACCAGUGGCGAAGGCGACUCUCUGGUCUGUAACUGACGCUGAGGAGCGAAAGCGUGGGGAGCGAACAGGAUUAGAUACCCUGGUAGUCCACGCCGUAAACGAUGAGUGCUAAGUGUUAGGGGGUUUCCGCCCCUUAGUGCUGCAGCUAACGCAUUAAGCACUCCGCCUGGGGAGUACGGUCGCAAGACUGAAACUCAAAGGAAUUGACGGGGGCCCGCACAAGCGGUGGAGCAUGUGGUUUAAUUCGAAGCAACGCGAAGAACCUUACCAGGUCUUGACAUCCUGUGAAAAUCCUAGAGAUAGGACGUCCCCUUCGGGGGCUGAGUGACAGGUGGUGCAUGGUUGUCGUCAGCUCGUGUCGUGAGAUGUUGGGUUAAGUCCCGCAACGAGCGCAACCCUUGAUCUUAGUUGCCAGCAUUCAGUUGGGCAAUUUAAGGUGAAUGCCGGUGACAAACCGGAGGAAGGUGGGGAUGAAGUCAAAUCAUCAUGCCCCUUAUGACGUGGGGUACACACGUGGUACAAUGGACAGAACAAAGGGCAGCGAAACCGGGAGGUUCAGCCAAUCCCACAAAUCUGUUCUCAGUUCGGAUCGCAGUUUGCAAAUUGAAUGCGUGAAGCUGGAAUCUGCGUAUGUAUAUCUGCGUGAUCUAGCAUGCCGCGGUGAAUACGUUCCCGGGCCUUGUACACACACGCGCCGUCUACACCACGAGAGUUUGUAACACCAGAGAGUGCGGUGAGGUAACCUUUUAGGAGGCGCAGCCGCACGCAACGUUGG
Molecule: ribosomal RNA, 1098 nt
Filed under: Bacillus velezensis
Lineage: Bacteria; Bacillati; Bacillota; Bacilli; Caryophanales; Bacillaceae
Description: bacterial SSU rRNA
Rfam family: Bacterial small subunit ribosomal RNA
Source: RNAcentral